CAGUCGCCGCGGUAAUACGUAGGUCCCGAGCGUUGUCCGGAUUUAUUGGGCGUAAAGCGAGCGCAGGCGGUUAGAUAAGUCUGAAGUUAAAGGCUGUGGCUUAACCAUAGUACGCUUUGGAAACUGUUUGACUUGAGUGCAAGAGGGGAGAGUGGAAUUCCAUGUGUAGCGGUGAAAUGCGUAGAUAUAUGGAGGAACACCGGUGGCGAAAGCGGCUCUCUGGCUUGUAACUGACGCUGAGGCUCGAAAGCGUGGGGAGCAAACAGGAUUAGAUACCCGCGUAGUCCCUGUCUCUUAUACC
RNAcentral lists this ribosomal RNA (301 nucleotides) under uncultured bacterium. Its description in RNAcentral is "partial 16S ribosomal RNA". It matches the Rfam family "Bacterial small subunit ribosomal RNA", at positions 509 to 808 of the family's 1533-position model. The record is from RNAcentral.